AGAGUGAUCCUGGCUCAGAGUGAACGCUGGCGCCUAACACAUGCAAGUCGAACGGCAGCACAGUAAGAGCUUGCUCUUAUGGGUGGCGAGUGGCGGACGGGUGAGGAAUACAUCGGAAUCUACCUUUCGUGGGGGAUAACGUAGGGAAACUUACGCUAAUACCGCAUACGACCUUCGGGUGAAAGCAGGACCUUCGGGCCUGCGCGGAUAGAUGAGCCGAUGUCGGAUUAGCUAGUUGGCGGGGUAAAGGCCCACCAAGGCGACGAUCCGUAGCUGGUCUGAGGGAUGAUCAGCCACACUGGAACUGAGACACGGUCCAGACUCCUACGGGAGGCAGCAGUGGGGAAUAUUGGACAAUGCGCAAGCUGAUCCAGCCAUACCGCGUGGGUGAAGAAGGCCGGGUUGUAAGCCCUGUUGGGAAGAAGCAGUCGGCUAAUACCCGGUUGUUCUGACGGUACCCAAGAAGCACCGGCUAACUCGUGCCAGCAGCCGCGGUAAUACGAAGGGUGCAAGCGUUACUCGGAAUUACUGGGCGUAAAGCGUGCGUAGGUGGUUGUUUAAGUCUGUUGUGAACCCUGGCUCAACCUGGGAAUUGCAGUGGAUACUGGGCGACUAGAGUGUGGUAGAGGGUAGUGGAAUUCCCGGGUGCAGUGAUGCGUAGAGAUCGGGAGGAACAUCCAUGGCGAAGGCAGCUACCUGGACCACUGACACUGAGGCACGAAAGCGUGGGGAGCAAACAGGAUUAGAUAUGGUAGUCCACGCCCUAAACGAUGCGAACUGGAUGUUGGGUGCAAUUUGGCACGCAGUAUCGAAGCUACGCGUUAAGUUCGCCGCCUGGGGAGUACGGUCGCAAGACUGAACUCAAUGGAUUGACGGGCCCGCACAAGCGGUGGAGUAUGUGGUCUAAUUCGAUGCGUCGCGAACCUUACUGGUCUUGACAUGUCGAGAACUCUCCAGAGAUGGAUUGGUGCCUAAGCGAACUCGAACACAGGUGCAUCAUGGCUGUCGUCAGCUGUGUCGUGAGAUGUUGGUUAAGUCCCGCAACGGCGCAACCUUGUCCUUAGUUGCCAGCACGUAAUGGUGGGAACUCUAAGGAGACCGCCGGUGACAAACCGGAGGAAGGUGGGGAUGACGUCAGUCAUCAUGGCCCCGACCAGGGCUACACACGUACUACAAUGGUAGGGACAGAGGGCUGCAAACCCGCGAGGGCAGCCAAUCCCAGAAACCCUAUCUCAGUCCGGAUUGGAGUCUGCAACUCGACUCCAUGAAGUCGGAAUCGCUAGUAAUCGAGAUCAGCAUUGCUGCGGUGAAUACGUUCCCGGGCCUUGUACACACCGCCGUCACACCAUGGGAGUUGUUGCACCAGAAGCAGGUAGCUUAACCUUCGGGAGGGCGCUUGCCACGGUGUGGCCGAUGCUGGGGUGAAGUCGUAACAAGGUAGGUAUCGGGUGCGGCACCUCAG
RNAcentral lists this ribosomal RNA (1462 nucleotides) under uncultured Stenotrophomonas sp. RNAcentral's name for it is "bacterial SSU rRNA". It matches the Rfam family "Bacterial small subunit ribosomal RNA". Lineage: Bacteria; Pseudomonadati; Pseudomonadota; Gammaproteobacteria; Lysobacterales; Lysobacteraceae. The record is from RNAcentral.